RNAcentral lists this long non-coding RNA (1078 nucleotides) under Octopus vulgaris (common octopus). The record is from RNAcentral. Lineage: Eukaryota; Metazoa; Mollusca; Cephalopoda; Octopoda; Octopodidae.
GCUGCAUGUUAUGUUCUUGAGCAAGACACUUUAUUUCAUGUUGCUCCAGUUCACUCAGCUGUAGAAAUGAGUUGUAACAUCACUGGUGUCAAGCUGUAUCGGUGUUUGCCUUUCCAUUGGAUAGCAUUGGUGGUGUGGAGAGGGGAGACUGGUAUGCACGGGCAACUGUUGGUCUUCCAUAAAUAACCUUGCCUGGACUUGUGCCUCAGAGAGUAACUUUCUAGGUGCAAUCCCAUGGUCAUUCAUGACUGAAGGAGGUCAUGCUCACCCUCACUGUUUCACAAUUUGUAACAUUUCAAUCUUGAUAUUCUUUUAAUGUAAGAUAUAAAUUUCUUGCUUUCUAGCAAGAUGUGGGACAUUUAUCAUUGAAACCCAGCUUCUGUACAUUCUUCUACAUCUAACAUUUGCUGGGUCAGAUUAGUGUGUGCUUUAGGAUUAUAAAACAGGCAGCUGUACAAAUCUUAAGACAAAUGAUUACCUGUGCUCUAGUGGUGAGAUCUUACUGAAAGACAUUACUCAGCUUCAGUAUUCCUGCAAUUCCUUGUUGAGCAUAAAGAAUUAUGUGACUAUGUGUAACAUUAAAAAAGCUAGUUACUUUAUUCAUUUUUGCUCCCAAAAGGUAGCACUUACAACUCUGACACUCUUUCUUGGCCUCUUCUAUGUGUGGUGGUUAUGUGGCAAGAAAUGUUUAAACACAAACUAGAAAUCAAAAUCUAUUGCCUUAGAGGUGGGUAACUUGAUACUUACAAUUUUCUGAGGGGGAUUUAGCUGCUAUUUCUAAAAAUUCAAAUGACUACAGAAGCUACAUGAGUAGCUAUUGUAGGUGUGAGUAAAACAAAAGAUGAGUAUGAGGUGGAAAUGUAAAAAAAGUGAAGAGUCAAAUCAAAAGCUAAUCAGUUAAAUGAAUUGUGAAACUAUAUAAGUUCCAGGUUCAGUUUUAAUAACUAUUUAUAAAUUCUGUUGACACUGAAGUAUUUAUUAUUGCCACCUUGUCAAAAUAUUCCCCACUGAUAUUCUUUCUUUGUUACCUGGAUCUCAUUUCAGCUUUCAUUUUGGAGUGCGACCUGAUAUGCAGUUU